Xiphophorus couchianus (Monterrey platyfish) is the source of this 480-nucleotide long non-coding RNA. RefSeq lists it as uncharacterized. The record is from RefSeq and is a predicted model, not a curated record. The transcript is spliced from 3 exons. NCBI's taxonomy places the organism in Eukaryota, Metazoa, Chordata, Actinopteri, Cyprinodontiformes, Poeciliidae.
AAGACGGAAGAAUUACAAGACGCAGACAGAGUAACACAAAGCAAGAGGUUGUUUAGUGUCACCUUUGGAUAGAGAUUCGCUCUUGGUGGUGGACCUGUACGGUGCAAACAAGCAGAGACAGCCGCCCACAGUCGCCCACUCACCCCACAUUCACCUUGAGGUGACAGCCCCACUGUCACAUCAUGACAGCUUGACUCUUUCUUCAGGCUCUUGGUGAAGGAAUAAAAGCAGCAAAUAAACAAAACAUCACAGGAAGGGAAGUGGCAGCAGAAGGAUGAUAUUAAUACUUUUUUCUUUCCCUGCGAGAAUCUCUGUCAGUCAAAUGGAGUUUGCAUCGUGUGCCGGCUUCUCACUUUGAUUUGCAAUUGACGUCCCUGCAGGUGGCACUCCUUUUUUCAUGUAAGCAUGGCAACUGUCAUAUCUAAUGACCACACAGAACAGGCAAAUAUAAUCUGAAACUGUUACUUUGUGGACAUGAAA